Molecule: small nucleolar RNA, 70 nt
Organism: Sarcophilus harrisii (Tasmanian devil)
Lineage: Eukaryota; Metazoa; Chordata; Mammalia; Dasyuromorphia; Dasyuridae
Source: Ensembl
CCUAAUGAUGAGAACCCUUGUCCAGUUCUGCUACUGAGCUUGAGUGACGAUACUGCUUUAUCUGAAGAGG